AGAGUUUGAUCCUGGCUCAGGACGAACGCUGGCGGCGUGCUUAACACAUGCAAGUCGAACGGUGAACCUGCUUCGGUGGGGGAUCAGUGGCGAACGGGUGAGUAACACGUGGGCAACCUGCCCUCAGCUCUGGGAUAACUCCAAGAAAUUGGGGCUAAUACCGGAUAUGACUGCUGACCGCAUGGUCUGGUGGUGGAAAGAUUUAUCGGCUGGGGAUGGGCCCGCGGCCUAUCAGCUUGUUGGUGGGGUCACGGCCUACCAAGGCGACGACGGGUAGCCGGCCUGAGAGGGUGACCGGCCACACUGGGACUGAGACACGGCCCAGACUCCUACGGGAGGCAGCAGUGGGGAAUAUUGCGCAAUGGGCGAAAGCCUGACGCAGCGACGCCGCGUGGGGGAUGACGGCCUUCGGGUUGUAAACCUCUUUCAGCAGGGACGAAGCGAAAGUGACGGUACCUGCAGAAGAAGCACCGGCCAACUACGUGCCAGCAGCCGCGGUAAUACGUAGGGUGCAAGCGUUGUCCGGAAUUAUUGGGCGUAAAGAGCUCGUAGGCGGUUUGUUGCGUCGGCUGUGAAAUCCCGAGGCUCAACCUCGGGUCUGCAGUCGAUACGAGCAAACUAGAGUGUUGCAGGGGAGACUGGAAUUCCUGGUGUAGCGGUGAAAUGCGCAGAUAUCAGGAGGAACACCGGUGGCGAAGGCGGGUCUCUGGGCAAUAACUGACGCUGAGGAGCGAAAGCGUGGGGAGCGAACAGGAUUAGAUACCCUAGUAGUCC
This 774-nucleotide ribosomal RNA is filed under the name uncultured bacterium. RNAcentral describes it as "bacterial SSU rRNA". It matches the Rfam family "Bacterial small subunit ribosomal RNA", at positions 8 to 796 of the family's 1533-position model. The record is from RNAcentral.